Molecule: ribosomal RNA, 253 nt
Filed under: uncultured bacterium
Lineage: Bacteria
Description: partial 16S ribosomal RNA
Rfam family: Bacterial small subunit ribosomal RNA
Source: RNAcentral
UACGUAGGGGGCUAGCGUUGUCCGGAAUCAUUGGGCGUAAAGCGCGCGUAGGCGGCCCGGUAAGUCCGCUGUAAAAGUCCAGGGCUCAACCCUGGAAAGCCGGUGGAUACUGUCGGGCUCGAGUCCGGAAGAGGCGAGUGGAAUUCCUGGUGUAGCGGUGGAAUGCGCAGAUAUCAGGAGGAACACCAAUAGCGAAGGCAGCUCGCUGGGACGUUACUGACACUGAGGCGCGAAAGCGUGGGGAGCGAACAGG